GCCUUCGUAGUGUAGAGGUCAGCACACUCGACGCGUAUUCGAGAGGUCCUUAGUUCGAGUCCCGGCGAGGGCA
This 73-nucleotide transfer RNA is filed under the name Stegodyphus mimosarum. It matches the Rfam family "tRNA". Rfam says of the family: Transfer RNA (tRNA) molecules are approximately 80 nucleotides in length. Their secondary structure includes four short double-helical elements and three loops (D, anti-codon, and T loops). The record is from Rfam by way of RNAcentral. Lineage: Eukaryota; Metazoa; Arthropoda; Arachnida; Araneae; Eresidae.